This 468-nucleotide ribosomal RNA is filed under the name uncultured bacterium. RNAcentral's name for it is "partial 16S ribosomal RNA". It matches the Rfam family "Bacterial small subunit ribosomal RNA", at positions 28 to 507 of the family's 1533-position model. The record is from RNAcentral.
GACGAACGCUGGCGGCGUGCUUAACACAUGCAAGUCGAACGGAAAGGCCCUGCUUUUGUGGGGUGCUCGAGUGGCGAACGGGUGAGUAACACGUGAGUAACCUGCCCUUGACUUUGGGAUAACUUCAGGAAACUGGGGCUAAUACCGGAUAGGAGCUCCUGCUGCAUGGUGGGGGUUGGAAAGUUUCGGCGGUUGGGGAUGGACUCGCGGCUUAUCAGCUUGUUGGUGGGGUAGUGGCUUACCAAGGCUUUGACGGGUAGCCGGCCUGAGACGGUGACCGGCCACAUUGGGACUGAGAUACGGCCCAGACUCCUACGGGAGGCAGCAGUGGGGAAUAUUGCACAAUGGGCGGAAGCCUGAUGCAGCAACGCCGCGUGCGGGAUGACGGCCUUCGGGUUGUAAACCGCUUUCGCCUGUGACGAAGCGUGAGUGACGGUAAUGGGUAAAGAAGCACCGGCUAACUACGUG